This is a long non-coding RNA of Brassica napus (rape), 3499 nucleotides long. RefSeq lists it as uncharacterized. The transcript is spliced from 6 exons. The record is from RefSeq and is a predicted model, not a curated record. NCBI's taxonomy places the organism in Eukaryota, Viridiplantae, Streptophyta, Magnoliopsida, Brassicales, Brassicaceae.
AUAAUGCCACAUUUUUCUGUCCAACUAGGUUAUCCACGUCAGUAGGUCUCAUUUAUGUGGGACCCACAGAAACAAACCUAUUGCCUAAUAAUCAAUCACGUUUUAUGUCCCUUUUCUCAUUCUUUUGUUUAUGAUUUUUGGGUCUUAUAACUUAUUUCAAAAGCCCAAUACUAUUUUAUACAUUAGACGUGAAGUGAGGCCCAAGCCCAUUUGAAGCUUUCGUCAACCCGACAUAAACAUGCCUUCCGUCCACUCUUCGUCUUCCUAGGAGACCUAUGGGUCCUACACUUGGUCGAUUAAGUAACAAAUAUUUUAGUUGAACCUCAGUCUCAACUCAGUGUAAUUUUUGUAACUCUCUAUACUUCUUCAUCAAUAUCUAUGAAACUCUUUGUAUUCCCCCAAACUCUCCCUCUUUACUGUUACCAUCAAAACCCAAAGCGUUUCAUAACCGAUGACAGCGGGAUCACUUUCAAUAGUUGAUACAAGAGACGGGAAUUCAACAUCUGAUAUCCACUUAAAGAGUUUCUCAACCGACGAAGCUUUACUCUUUUGAAAAUGUAUUGCUGCUCAAAUCCGCUGCAGAAUGGUAAAGUUAAGUGUAACAUCAAAUUUUAUUCCAUCAAUCCCUACAGUUAAAUUAGCAAUUGGUACAUACAAAUAAUUUUCAAACUUGUUGGCCAAAUACAUCUCCUGCAAGGCUAUGUGUCUCUGACCUCAACAACGCAUUUUGAUGGUUCGUUUUCUAAUCGAAACGUAGGCCUGGGUUCGCGGGUCAACCCGCCCCGCACGACCCGCCAAUCCGCGGAUCGUUUCUUUUUUUUUAGUUAAAAUUUCGACCCGCUCAACCCGCAAAGAAAUAAACUAAUACCCGUACCCGCCCCGCUUUAUUUUGCGGGUAAUCCGCGGGACCCGCGGGUUAUAUUUUUAAUUAAAAAAUAAUUAUUUAAUUAGUUUUUCUAUAAAAUAAUAUAUUUAUAAGUAAUUUUUUAUAUUAUUUUUUAAAAAUUUAAUUAUUUUUUAAAAAAAUUAAUUAUUUUUCUAAAAAAAUCGAAUUUUUCAAAAAAAAAACGAAUUUUUCAAAAAAAAAAAAAAAUUUUAUUUUUUAUUUUAUUUUGCGGGUUGACGGGUAUCCGCAAAUCAAAAUCCACCAACCCGCACCCGCCCCGCAAAAAAUAGUCUUAACCCGCACCCGCGAAUUGAUUUUUUCAAAACGCUCGACCCGCAUCCGCCCUGCAGCGGGUCAAAUGGGGCGGGCCCCGCGGGCUUUGAUUUAAAUUCCCAGGCCUAUCGAAACGUAAGGUCCAAACUUAACUUUUCACAGGUUUCAUGCAUCUCCAUUUACUCCCUUUCUAAUAUAAUUUAUAUAUAAUCUCAUAGAACAGCUCAGUCGUCAGCCAGGAAAAUUUGAGCUAUGGCGAUAUAACCCACUCUGUCAUGCUGGUGUGAAUCCAAAAAAUAUUUGGAGCUUGCAGUUGAGGUAUUUUCCACGUGUUGAGACCAUGGAAGGGAUUAAGAAGAAAGAACUGGUGUCAAUUGGAGACCUUCCCACGUACCUCUCCAAGUGAGCGACCAGGAAGCUGAUUUCUUCUAGCAAAAUGGCUGGUCCUACAUCUCUUGCACCGAUGGCAGCAGGAAGUUGGACAAAUCCGAUACUUUGCUCCGCUGCAGUAGAUGUGUUUCACCAAACUUCACCGGGGUGUUCAGUUUAUGUCCCCACUUAACUUAACUCACUUUGUACUAGGUUUGUUUAAAAUAGCGACGCCUAGGCUAAGCUUAGGCGAGGUCAAAACUGGGGUCGUCGCCUUGAGGAAUUCAUGAAGGCGGACGCUCCAGGACGCCUCACGCCGUCUUGGACGCCUCAUGCCUCAACCCUUUCUCGAUAUUAAGGUGGCGCCUCAUGUCCUUAAAGCGAGCCUAAGCGAUCUCUAUAGCUAGAGGCGUUAUUUCACUGUUUGACCUGCUGACAAUGGCCCAGACAGUGCUACGUUUGUGGUUUUUGACACAGAGAUGACAAAACUCACCAAGAAAGAUGCAGCGACACUGGCUCUUGGGGAGUGGCGGUGAAGGAUCUGAGCUGAGCUAUCAAGAUCAGUAGAAGAGCUAGCUGGCAAGCAAUGCGUCUUUCAAGUUCGGGUAACACCAUACAAUUUCAUCCCCAACCACCAUACCUUCACCGAAGAUGUGUUCUUCAGUGUGUUCCUCAACACUCCUGUCAGAGAACAAAGAUUCAGUGAUGGAUGUCCAACCUAAACAUCCAACAGCUCUGCUAGCUACACGGGUGAUACGCCGAGGAAAGCAAUAGAAGUUGAUGAAGCAAAUCCCACCAGCUUGGGUGAUGAAGAGAAGAACCGCAAAAUACUCAGUGAUAGUUUCAAGUGCAACAAACCGUCAUCCCCACUUAGCUUUCGUGCCUUUUGAAAUGAUUCCUAUGUUUUUCCUUCUUCCAUAUUUAGUUAUCUUUUGAAUUUAUCUACAAACGAUCUACCCCUAGGAGAAAGAGUAACUUUGAUUUUUUUUUUUUGAAAAAAGAAACAUUGACGGGGAUUUGCAUAUUUGGAAAAAAGAAACUGAUGUGGAGUCAUAAAACAAGGCAGUUAUGAGACGGCUCCGAAGCAUUGCCUCAAGACAUGCUGAGAAAUUCAGCAGAGUAGCUGCAGUGUCACCAAUGGAUUACUACAACACCAUCAUUUCAUGCAAGGACCUACACAUCUCCGCUGACGACUAUGGUGUCUCCAAGCAACUAAACUUAUCCCCAAGGAAAGGACACCAUGUUGAAAUCACUUACUUCAAUCAAAGUAAUGAGGUCAGUGAUUUUUGUAUAAGAGUUGGGUAGUAUCAACAACAUAAUAAAACCCACACAUACUUUUACAGAAUUCGCAGGGAGAAACAUACAAUAUAAACACCAGAGCCACUAACUUUUUAACUUUUAUUUUCCAUAAUUUAUGUUAGGUCGGUCUUCUAAACUUACGACCCAGAGCCACCAACUUUUUAGGCUCGCUAAAAAGACUUAUCAAAAUAAACAGACGAACGAAAAACACAAAACAACGACAAUAACUAAACAAAUGCAACAUAAGAUCACAAUCCCAGCAAAAAACCAUACAAACUAUUGACAUACACUCUUCAGCACAGAACAACCACAAACAUCAUUUCGUUUUACUAAAUCCCUCACUUUCAUCUACUUCCAAACGUUAAAUGAAACAAAAAUAAUAACAUCAAACCCGCGCUCGCUCCUAGUUCGUUGCAAGUGAAAGUGGUUACUUACCACUCUAAAAUUAAUGAGGACAAUUGAUUUAUAUGUAAAGAUGAUGGCAUUUUAACAAUGAUCAUUUUUUAAUAGUAUUGAUCGAUAUAUUAUAGGUGGGCUUAAUGAUUAUGCACCAAUCAAUGGAUGACACUAUUACAGACAAGCAUUGUUACAGUAAUCCGGCCAAAAAGUUUCCAUCCAAAGCUUUUUUUUCUUUUAGAACUGAAGCUUUUAAUUAAAUGCAUAAGAGCAUUA